Molecule: ribosomal RNA, 386 nt
Filed under: uncultured bacterium
Lineage: Bacteria
Description: bacterial SSU rRNA
Rfam family: Bacterial small subunit ribosomal RNA
Source: RNAcentral
AACGAACGCUGGCGGCGUGCCUAACACAUGCAAGUCGAGGGAGAAAAGGGGCUUCGGCUCCUGAGUAAACCGGCGCACGGGUGAGUAACACGUAGGUAACGUACCCUUGAGUCUGGGAUAACCAGUCGAAAGACUGGCUAAUACCAGAUACGACUGCGGGAGCUCAGGCUUCUGCAGUGAAAGAUGGCCUCUACUUGUAAGCUAUCACUCAUGGAUCGGCCUGCGCACCAUUAGCUAGUUGGUGAGGUAAAGGCUCACCAAGGCUGAGAUGGUUAGCUGGUCUGAGAGGAUGGCCAGCCACACUGGGACUGAGACACGGCCCAGACUCCUACGGGAGGCAGCAGUGGGGAAUAUUGCGCAAUGGGCGAAAGCCUGACGCAGCGACG